This is a long non-coding RNA of Strongylocentrotus purpuratus (purple sea urchin), 1432 nucleotides long. RefSeq lists it as uncharacterized. The transcript is spliced from 4 exons. The record is from RefSeq and is a predicted model, not a curated record. NCBI's taxonomy places the organism in Eukaryota, Metazoa, Echinodermata, Echinoidea, Camarodonta, Strongylocentrotidae.
UUGUUUUAGAUUGAGGUAAUUCGAUCUAAAGGAUGCAUUGUGAAGAGGUGGCAUGCCGUGUCAUAUUCAUCUGUUUGCCGAAUGGAGAGUAGUGAGGGAUGUUUCCGAAGCUGUUGUCAGAAGAAAGGGACAAGUCAUGAAGUUUCCUACAAGUUACAACAAGGCAAAUAGUGACUACUAUUCAGAAGCAGUUUUUCCAGUACUGCAGAUUUCCAGGAGUUGCUGUUGAUGGGACACAUGUUUACAUCAGGAGCCCUGGUGGGGCAAGAGCCAGGUACUACUUCAAUAGGAAGAACAGGUACUCCAUCGAUGUUCAGGUUGUCUGUGAUUAUGCUGGGAAAAUAACUAGUAUCGUUGCAAGGUGGCCUGGACUGGUAGCAGCCACGAUGCCAGGAUCUUUUCUGAGUGUGCACUGAAUUGACAGCUUGAUGCUAGGGCAUAUGAAUAACAGUUGAUUCUUGGAGAUAGACUAUAGGGUAUCCAUGCCUUCUCUGCCUCAUCAGAAGCCAUUUCUUCAUUCAGAGGGUCGACCACAGAUGUGCUUUAAAGGCCAUCUGUACUGGUUCAGCCAAAGAGGAUUAGACAACCCAGCAAGGUCACUGACGGGAGGCUAUCUCAUCAAUUCAGUUCUCAAUUAAAAUAAGAAAAAGAGGAUCAUGGGGGAUUAACAGGCACAGAUUGGGGAAGUUUUCUAUAUAGAGGGAGCAAGUAGCUAGAAGUAGUACAGUGGGGCUUUAACACUUCACACACAAAAAAGGGAGAUGUGUGAUUGAGCGCAUAUUUAUUAAAUGCAAGGAUGAGGACGUUCCAUGCCUCAUCAAUACUAAGAGUAUUUCAAAAUACGGCCCCUCCCUGGUGUUCCCACAAUACUUCGUAGUUAUGCAGCAUUACAUCAAGAACCUGGGUGUUGAACCGUUGAUUAUUUAUGAAUAUUUUUGAAGUUAUGUUUAGUUGAUAAGUAUUUGUUGUCACUCUGACGGUAUUUGUAAUUAAGUGUUCUCUAUAGAUUAAAUGCACCCGAUUUAACUAUAAUUAGCAUUGUACUGCUGAGUUGAGGGGUGGGUCAAUAUAAAUUAUUUGGUUGGCAGCUAGGGGAGAAUAUUCGAACAAAUAUUAUUUACUGUACUAAGCGAAGUCAGAAUUAAAGAACUUUUAUGUGCAAAUUUGAAUUUUCGUCACCCAUUUUGUUGUAUUUCUGAUUUUCUUUCUGCUAAUAGCGCUACAGUGAGACUUUUAAUUGGCCUUCCAGAGCCUCUCUUAACCUCUAGUGGGCUAUAUUUCAUAUAAGCAUGCUACAAAAUUUACAAAUGUGAACUGCAUUGUUUGAACAAACGGUAGAUUACUAUUGUGUUGUAUGCUCAAUUAUUUAUGUAAAACAUGAAAAUACGAAUACAAUAUUCUUGCUUUCAUAUAUUUACAAAGAUAACUGAAA